CCUACGCGUGGCAGCAGUGGGGAAUAUUGCACAAUGGGGGAAACCCUGAUGCAGCGACGCCGCGUGAGUGAGGAAGUAUUUCGGUAUGUAAAGCUCUAUCAGCAGGGAAGAAAAUGACGGUACCUUACUAAGAAGCCACGGCUAACUACGUGCCAGCAGCCGCGGUAAUACGUAGGGGGCAAGCUUUUACCGGAUUUACUGGGUGUAAAGGGAGGGUAGACGGCUAAUCAAGUCAGAAGUGAAAACCCAGGGCUAAACCUUGGGAGUGCUUUUGAAACUGAGUAGCUAGAGUGCAGGAGAGGUAAGCGGAAUUCGUGGUGUAGCGGUGAAAGGCGUAGAUAUUAGGAGGAACACCAGUGGCGAAGGCGGCUUACUGGACUGUAACUGACGUUGAGGCUCGAAAGCGUGGGGAGCAAACAGGAUUAGAUACCCGGGUAGUC
Molecule: ribosomal RNA, 440 nt
Filed under: uncultured bacterium
Lineage: Bacteria
Description: partial 16S ribosomal RNA
Rfam family: Bacterial small subunit ribosomal RNA
Source: RNAcentral